RNAcentral lists this transfer RNA (118 nucleotides) under Fusarium poae. It matches the Rfam family "tRNA". Rfam says of the family: Transfer RNA (tRNA) molecules are approximately 80 nucleotides in length. Their secondary structure includes four short double-helical elements and three loops (D, anti-codon, and T loops). Further hydrogen bonds mediate the characteristic L-shaped molecular structure. tRNAs have two regions of fundamental functional importance: the anti-codon, which is responsible for specific mRNA codon recognition, and the 3' end, to which the tRNAs corresponding amino acid is attached (by aminoacyl-tRNA synthetases). tRNAs cope with the degeneracy of the genetic code in two manners: having more than one tRNA (with a specific anti-codon) for a particular amino acid; and 'wobble' base-pairing, i.e. permitting non-standard base-pairing at the 3rd anti-codon position. The record is from Rfam by way of RNAcentral. Lineage: Eukaryota; Fungi; Ascomycota; Sordariomycetes; Hypocreales; Nectriaceae.
GUCGGUGUGGCUCAGUUGGUUAGAGCGUUGGUCUCAUAUAGCGAGUAAUUCGUCAAGUAUGACUUGGUUAAACACCAGGGUAAUCCAAAGGUCGAGAGUUCGAGCCUCUCCACCGACA